Molecule: long non-coding RNA, 613 nt
Filed under: Homo sapiens (human)
Lineage: Eukaryota; Metazoa; Chordata; Mammalia; Primates; Hominidae
Description: HSALNT0361800
Source: RNAcentral
UUUGCCUCUGAGUGGAUAUCAACAGGAAAUAGUUCCUGUAUCAUCAACAGAACAAGCAGCUGGACUGAGGAAACAAAAACACAAAGUCCAAAAUAGUGAUAUUGGCAGGGUAGACAUUACACGCAGGAUACCGGAAGGCCAGUCAGACCAUGAGGGCUUAUGCUGCAACCCCUAAGGGUAUAACCAGGAGUUGCGAAGUGGUCGUAGUUGUUCAUGUCUCAAUCUGGAUCAUCUUUGCUUUUUGCUUCUGCUUUGUGCUAUCCCUCUUCCCGUACCUCAGUUCUAUCUGGAACCAUGAUCUGUGACUGCCAUGGAAAAGUGUUGGGCAGGAGGAGGCCAGCUGGGUCUUUGAAGUUGACAAUGGAGCCAGGAAUGAAAGCUGCACUUAGGAUGAGAAUUGCUUUCCCUGGAGCCAAGUCAGCAAAUGCAGUCUGGUUGUCAGAGCUGAGAGGCUUCACCAAGUCAAGUAGGGGAGGACAUCUUCACUCUGCAACUUGCCCUACUGAAUGCAGAAAGUACUGUCUACUUAGAUAAAGCCUACACUAAAAGGGAAUUGAAUCUCUGCAAAUAAGUAUGUGGAUCUAAUUUCUACCUUCCAGAUUAAAAGUAUAAU